CUGCUUUGAAUUAGGAUUUGACUUCGAAUUGGAUCCAAAGCUGUCGUCUACUUUUCCUGCAGCUUGUUUCAUAUAUUAUGAUUCGACUACCCAUUUUAUUGUUAGUCCAGGUAUAGUUCACUUAAUUUGCUGAUAAAGAGUUAAUUAAUGUUCUUACGAAAUGAGAUACAUUUCAACUGAACUUGUUUUGAAAAAAAGCUGAUGAUCCGGAUAUAGUGAAGAAGAAGAUAAAGAGUAUAUUGUUGGCCGAUAGAAAUGAUUGUGUGUAUUAAAGAUGAUAUGAAAAGUGCGAAAAGGGCCCCACACAGCCUGCCUCAUCACAUCACCAAGACACCAACAACCGUCUCAUACGCAAUUAAUUGGAGCUCGGUAACUGGCUGACAACUGCCGAAGAUAUUUAAAUCUGACGUGGCACCCUACCUUCUUUUACGCACAAGUGUACCGACCUCCUCUCUCUCUCUCUCUCUUCACAAAUACGAUCGCCCUUUUGGCUGUGCACUUUUAUAUGCAAAACAAACUGAGUCUAGUGCUCUCCGCCGCCAACGCUGGAUAUUUGCUGUGCUUCUUCCACUUUGACUACUCAGAUUUGCCUAGAUAUUUUGCAUCGAUUCUCGGAAGACAGCACGAUGUGGACUGAUCACAAGCACAGCUUAUUUCUCCAACAUUUGGAACUCUCAUUUGUUAAGCAACUGCACCAGUCAAUUAGUUUGCUUGAUCAAGACGAGGAAGAAAUAAACACUUCCCUAAUAGAUCAAAUAAAUUUGGCUGGUCGGCUGCAUGGAUGUUCGAAGAUAAAGUGCAAUAGGGGUUAUCCUCUUUCCCAUGUUUCAGUUGAUUCCAUUGGCCAUAGUAAGCGUCCUACUGUAUCAGCUCAUACACCAGAACCUUGGACGCUUUGUAAAGCAGAGAAUGUUGGGGAAGUUGUUAAGCCUAACUGUGAUUUGCAUGACUCCCAGAGAGAGGGUACAGGUCAGAAUUUUGUUGAUGAAGACAAUCAGUCAAACUCAGAUACUGAAUAUCGUGUGAAAAGAACGAAGAUUAUGUUAGCGGAUAAGUGAAGUAAUUCAUUCUUUCUAUAGAGAAAAAUGACAGCUCUAAUCUUGUAAGGCUAACCUUUGAGAUCAUCAUCGUCCUCCCAAAUUGAAAGAUGACAACCACGCAAGAGUGGUUGCCACUAGCCAGCUAUUCUUUUAUAUUCGUCUUGCCCAAAUUUAGGAGCCAGGUCCAGGUUUGAUUUGUUUAAAAGUUUUGCAUAAUGUGAUAUCAUAAUCUUGGCUUGCGACAUGGAUUCGUUUAUUUGACGAGAUUUGGUGUAAAAGUAAGAUUUGUUUGUAGGUAAUAUUUGUAUAUGUCCAUGGAGGAAGAGUCGAGUCAUGUACUCCCUCCGUUCCGCUACAAGUGAGGCGUUCAAAAUCGAAAGUUGUUGUUAGAGUAGAGAUAAAAGUAAAGUAAGUAAGAUAAUAAUGUAUAUACGACUCUCAUCUAUAUUAUUAUUUCUCUUACUUAA
This is an RNA transcript of Salvia splendens (bonfire salvia), 1507 nucleotides long. RefSeq lists it as uncharacterized. Lineage: Eukaryota; Viridiplantae; Streptophyta; Magnoliopsida; Lamiales; Lamiaceae. The transcript is spliced from 4 exons. The record is from RefSeq and is a predicted model, not a curated record.